This 497-nucleotide ribosomal RNA is filed under the name uncultured bacterium. RNAcentral describes it as "partial 16S ribosomal RNA". It matches the Rfam family "Bacterial small subunit ribosomal RNA", at positions 28 to 507 of the family's 1533-position model. The record is from RNAcentral.
GAUGAACGCUGGCGGCGUGCCUAAUACAUGCAAGUCGAGCGAACGGACGCGAAGCUUGCUUCUCUGAUGUUAGCGGCGGACGGGUGAAUAACACGUGGAUGACCUACCUAUAUGACUGGUAUAACUUCGGGAAACCGGAGCUCAUACCGGAUAAUAUUUUGAUACUCAUUGUUCCAUAGUGAAAGACGGUCUUGCUGUCGCUUAUCAAUGGUUGCGCGCUGCAUUAGCUAGUUGGUAAGGUAAAGGCUUACCAAGUAAACGAUGCAUAGCCGACCUGAGAGGGUGAUCGGCAACACUGGAACUGAGACACGGUCCAGACUCCUACGGGAGGCAGCAGUAGGGAAUCUUCCGCAAUGGGCGAAAGCCUGACGGAGCAACGCCGCGUGAGUGAUGAAGGUCUUCGGAUCGUAAAACUCUGUUAUUAGGGAAGAACAUAUGUGUAAGUAACUGUGCACAUCUUGACGGUACCUAAUCAGAAAGCCACGGCUAACUACGUG